This 1176-nucleotide long non-coding RNA is filed under the name Theobroma cacao (cacao). Its description in RNAcentral is "long non-coding RNA (TCAC_LNC006167)". Lineage: Eukaryota; Viridiplantae; Streptophyta; Magnoliopsida; Malvales; Malvaceae. The record is from RNAcentral.
CUAGACAUAGUCACCUUUUAAGCUGCUUAGGUGGCAUUGACAAUGCCAAAAUCUUAGGGAUCAAAUUCCUUAAUUUUUGAACUUUGAAUUUUGGCAAUAUUCAAACUCUUUCAAAACUUAAAAUAUCAGCAAAUAGGUGCAACUAAUUGCACAAAUUUAGGCCCCUUUUAAGUUGCCAAAAUUUGUCAAAAUCGUGGCCUGAAAUAGCUGCUGGCAGUAGUGGUUUCAGCCAUGAUUUUGUGGCUAUUGCACCACUAUUCACCUUUGGUUGGCAAUCCUUCUUGGAAUUAUUCCAAAGUACAUUGCUUCCAUGAUUUUUGCAGAAUUUUUCAAGGCCAUUAGAUGCCUUUUUAGUACUGAAAACCGAACCACAACAACUGCUGGACAUAAUCAAAGUUUGGCCCUAAAAUCGCACCAAAACAUCAUGAACUUGAAUAUGAUUUUGCGAAUUUAAUUUGUACAUCUUAUGCACUUCUUAAUCUAGCCAAAUCAAAACAAAAAACUCAUAUUAGUAUAUCCAAAAUUAAGAUUUAAAAUUCACUAAUUAAAUCUGUCCAAGAAAUUGAAACAACUCCAAAAUAGAUUUUAAAAUUUUUAAAUUCUAUCUAGCUUAAACCCGAACACUUCAUAUCAAAUAUAAACAUUGAAUCAACAACAAUGAGACAUUAUUUGUAUUAAAACGAGCGAAGGGAGGCUCUGAUACCACUGCUGGAAUGGCAUGAAACUUAGAGAUAACAAUUAUCAUAUGCAGCAGAAAAUAAAAUUUAAACAUACCUUGCCAUGCCACCACCCAUGGAUCACCUUGGUGGUUUUAAUACAGACAAAAUUUAAGAGAAGUAAACAAAAUAUUACCUAGCCAAGUGAUGUUGUAAUCAUGAUGGCAAAUCCUCUUGACUAAGAGAAGAUACGACACUACUCCUAUUUUGACACAGUCCCGUUUACACCAUGAAGGGAAAAAAAACCCGAGCCACCCAAGCGUUUGGCCUCCAACGGUAUCCACACAAUUGCACUUGAACCUUCAACAAGGUAGGAGCUUUUAACUACUCUCUGUGCUAGCAGAGUGGACAACAGUUGUCCUUUUCUUCACGAAAACUAUAAGCCAAAUCACUCUAAAGAAAAUCAUCACAAGAUUUUCCUCUAAACCACAAGAGGCGGCUAGAGAACUUUUUGUUGUUC